GUAUUCGCCGGAGAUGGCAAGUAAAAUAGUGGUCCUGUGCGCUAUACUCCACAAUAUCGCGGUAAGGAGUAGCGUAGAGCUUCCUCAGACAGAGGAAUUGCCUGAUGAGGAGCCAGGGGUUGUCCGACACUUCGGUGGGGGGAGUGUUACAAGGAGGGGGAGCCAAGUCAGGGCAAGCAUUGUUGCUGAAUUUUUCAGCUGAAAGACCACACAAACUGAGGACGACCACAACGGCAAGCACCACAUGAUGCACCAGCUCAGCACCCUUCCCCUUCUCACUCCCCCUCCACUUCCCAGUCCCCCUCCCCUUCUCACUCCCCCUCCCCUUCUCACUCCCCCUCCCCUUCUCACUCCCCCUCAGCUUCUCACUCCCCCUCAGCUUC
This is a long non-coding RNA of Pseudophryne corroboree (corroboree frog), 383 nucleotides long. RefSeq lists it as uncharacterized. Lineage: Eukaryota; Metazoa; Chordata; Amphibia; Anura; Myobatrachidae. The transcript has 3 exons. The record is from RefSeq and is a predicted model, not a curated record.